This 500-nucleotide ribosomal RNA is filed under the name uncultured bacterium. Its description in RNAcentral is "partial 16S ribosomal RNA". It matches the Rfam family "Bacterial small subunit ribosomal RNA", at positions 28 to 523 of the family's 1533-position model. The record is from RNAcentral.
GACGAACGCUGGCGGCGUGCCUAAUACAUGCAAGUCGAGCGGACCACUUCGGUGGUCAGCGGCGGACGGGUGAGUAACACGUGGGCAACCUGCCUGUAAGACUGGGAUAACACCGGGAAACCGGUGCUAAUACCGGAUAAUCCUUCUCUUCUCAUGAAGAGAAGCUGAAAGACGGUUUCGGCUGUCACUUACAGAUGGGCCCGCGGCGCAUUAGCUAGUUGGUGAGGUAACGGCUCACCAAGGCAGCGAUGCGUAGCCGACCUGAGAGGGUGAGCGGCCACACUGGGACUGAGCCACGGCCCAGACUCCUACGGGAGGCAGCAGUAGGGAAUCCUCCGCAAUGGACGAAAGUCUGACGGAGCAACGCCGCGUGAGCGAUGAAGGCCUUCGGGUCGUAAAGCUCUGUUGUCAGGGAAGAACAAGUACCGGAGUAACUGCCGGUACCUUGACGGUACCUGACCAGAAAGCCACGGCUAACUACGUGCCAGCCGCCGCCGUAA